This 375-nucleotide ribosomal RNA is filed under the name uncultured bacterium. RNAcentral's name for it is "bacterial SSU rRNA". It matches the Rfam family "Bacterial small subunit ribosomal RNA", at positions 521 to 896 of the family's 1533-position model. The record is from RNAcentral.
UAAUACGAGAGGCCCAAACGUUAUUCGGAUUUACUGGGCUUAAAGAGUCCGUAGGCGGCGCGACAAGUGGGGUGUGAAAGCCCUCGGCUCAACCGAGGAACUGCGCUCCAAACUGUCGUGCUAGAGGAACCUAGAGGUGAGCAGAACUGAUGGUGGAGCGGUGAAAUGCGUUGAUAUCAUCAGGAAUACCGGAGGCGAAGGCGGCUCACUGGGAGUUUUCUGACGCUGAGGGACGAAAGCCAGGGUAGCGAACGGGAUUAGAUACCCCGGUAGUCCUGGCCGUAAACGAUGAGCACUGGGCCGGAGGCCUGCACAGGCUUCCGGCCGUAGCGAAAGUGUUAAGUGCUCCGCCUGGGGAGUAUGGUCGCAAGGCUG